This 25-nucleotide transfer RNA is filed under the name Polypedates leucomystax (Java whipping frog). RNAcentral describes it as "partial tRNA-Gln". Lineage: Eukaryota; Metazoa; Chordata; Amphibia; Anura; Rhacophoridae. The record is from RNAcentral.
UNAAAAAGAUAGGAGUUGAACCUAC